Molecule: ribosomal RNA, 119 nt
Filed under: Pteropus alecto (black flying fox)
Lineage: Eukaryota; Metazoa; Chordata; Mammalia; Chiroptera; Pteropodidae
Source: RNAcentral
UUCUAUGGCCAUGCCACCCUGAACAAGCCCGAUCCCAUCUCAUCUCGGAAGCUAAGCAGGGUCGGGCCUGGUUAGUACUUGGAUGGGAGACCACCUAGGAAGACCAGGUGCUGUAGAGG